This 2891-nucleotide ribosomal RNA is filed under the name Vibrio parahaemolyticus. Its description in RNAcentral is "23S ribosomal RNA". It matches the Rfam family "Bacterial large subunit ribosomal RNA". The record is from RNAcentral. Lineage: Bacteria; Pseudomonadati; Pseudomonadota; Gammaproteobacteria; Vibrionales; Vibrionaceae.
GGUUAAGUGACUAAGCGUACACGGUGGAUGCCUUGGCAGUCAGAGGCGAUGAAAGACGUAGUAACUUGCGAUAAGCCCAGAUUAGGUAGUAACAACCAUUUGAGUCUGGGAUUUCUGAAUGGGGAAACCCACGUGCAUAAGCACGUAUCCUUACCUGAAUACAUAGGGUAAGGAGGCGAACCGGGGGAACUGAAACAUCUAAGUACCCCGAGGAAAAGAAAUCAACCGAGAUUCCGAAAGUAGCGGCGAGCGAAAUUGGACUAGCCCUUAAGCUUUACACGCGUUAGACGAAAGGUCUGGAAAGUCCGACGAUACAGGGUGAUAGUCCCGUAGUUGACGACGUGUGUUCAGUGAAAUCGAGUAGGGCGGGACACGUGAUAUCCUGUCUGAAUAUGGGGGGACCAUCCUCCAAGGCUAAAUACUACUGACUGACCGAUAGUGAACCAGUACCGUGAGGGAAAGGCGAAAAGAACCCCUGUGAGGGGAGUGAAAUAGAACCUGAAACCGUGUACGUACAAGCAGUAGGAGCAGGCUUUGUCCUGUGACUGCGUACCUUUUGUAUAAUGGGUCAGCGACUUAUAUUCAGUGGCAAGGUUAACCAUCUAGGGGAGCCGUAGGGAAACCGAGUCUUAACUGGGCGUUCAGUCUCUGGAUAUAGACCCGAAACCAGGUGAUCUAGCCAUGGGCAGGUUGAAGGUUGAGUAACAUCAACUGGAGGACCGAACCGACUAAUGUUGAAAAAUUAGCGGAUGACUUGUGGCUAGGGGUGAAAGGCCAAUCAAACCUGGAGAUAGCUGGUUCUCCCCGAAAGCUAUUUAGGUAGCGCCUCGGACGAAUACUACUGGGGGUAGAGCACUGUUAAGGCUAGGGGGUCAUCCCGACUUACCAACCCUUUGCAAACUCCGAAUACCAGUAAGUACUAUCCGGGAGACACACGGCGGGUGCUAACGUCCGUCGUGGAGAGGGAAACAACCCAGACCGCCAGCUAAGGUCCCAAAUUACUACUAAGUGGGAAACGAUGUGGGAAGGCUCAGACAGCCAGGAUGUUGGCUUAGAAGCAGCCAUCAUUUAAAGAAAGCGUAAUAGCUCACUGGUCGAGUCGGCCUGCGCGGAAGAUGUAACGGGGCUAAGUAGUAAACCGAAGCUGCGGCAAUAUACUUUUGUAUAUUGGGUAGGGGAGCGUUCUGUAAGCGGUUGAAGGUGUGUGGUAACGCAUGCUGGACGUAUCAGAAGUGCGAAUGCUGACAUGAGUAACGAUAAAGGGGGUGAAAAACCUCCUCGCCGGAAGACCAAGGGUUCCUGUCCAACGUUAAUCGGGGCAGGGUAAGUCGACCCCUAAGGCGAGGCCGAAAGGCGUAGUCGAUGGGAAACGGGUUAAUAUUCCCGUACUUCUUACAAUUGCGAUGGGGGGACGGAGAAGGCUAGGUGGGCCUGGCGACGGUUGUCCAGGUUCAAGUGCGUAGGCUUAAGAGUUAGGUAAAUCCGGCUCUUUUUAAGGCUGAGACACGACGUCGAGCACCUACGGGUGUGAAGUCAUUGAUGCCAUGCUUCCAGGAAAAGCCUCUAAGCUUCAGAUUGUAAGGAAUCGUACCCCAAACCGACACAGGUGGUCGGGUAGAGAAUACCAAGGCGCUUGAGAGAACUCGGGUGAAGGAACUAGGCAAAAUGGUACCGUAACUUCGGGAGAAGGUACGCUCUCGACGGUGAAGUCCCUCGCGGAUGGAGCUAUUGAGAGUCGCAGAUACCAGGUGGCUGCAACUGUUUAUUAAAAACACAGCACUGUGCAAAAUCGUAAGAUGACGUAUACGGUGUGACGCCUGCCCGGUGCCGGAAGGUUAAUUGAUGGGGUUAGACUUCGGUCGAAGCUCUUGAUCGAAGCCCCGGUAAACGGCGGCCGUAACUAUAACGGUCCUAAGGUAGCGAAAUUCCUUGUCGGGUAAGUUCCGACCUGCACGAAUGGCGUAAUGAUGGCCACGCUGUCUCCACCCGAGACUCAGUGAAAUUGAAAUCGCUGUGAAGAUGCAGUGUACCCGCGGCUAGACGGAAAGACCCCGUGAACCUUUACUACAGCUUGGCACUGAACAUUGACCCUACAUGUGUAGGAUAGGUGGGAGGCUUUGAAGCACGUACGCCAGUAUGUGUGGAGCCGUCCUUGAAAUACCACCCUUGUAGUGUUGAUGUUCUAACGUCGACCCCUUAUCGGGGUUGCGGACAGUGCCUGGUGGGUAGUUUGACUGGGGCGGUCUCCUCCCAAAGAGUAACGGAGGAGCACGAAGGUGGGCUAAUCACGGUUGGACAUCGUGAGGUUAGUGCAAUGGCAUAAGCCCGCUUGACUGCGAGAAUGACAAUUCGAGCAGGUGCGAAAGCAGGUCAUAGUGAUCCGGUGGUUCUGAAUGGAAGGGCCAUCGCUCAACGGAUAAAAGGUACUCCGGGGAUAACAGGCUGAUACCGCCCAAGAGUUCAUAUCGACGGCGGUGUUUGGCACCUCGAUGUCGGCUCAUCACAUCCUGGGGCUGAAGUCGGUCCCAAGGGUAUGGCUGUUCGCCAUUUAAAGUGGUACGCGAGCUGGGUUUAGAACGUCGUGAGACAGUUCGGUCCCUAUCUGCCGUGGGCGUUGGAAGAUUGAAGGGGGCUGCUCCUAGUACGAGAGGACCGGAGUGGACGAACCUCUGGUGUUCGGGUUGUGUCGCCAGACGCAUUGCCCGGUAGCUAAGUUCGGAAUCGAUAACCGCUGAAAGCAUCUAAGCGGGAAGCGAGCCCUGAGAUGAGUCUUCCCUGAUACUUUAAGUAUCCUAAAGGGUUGUCGGAGACUACGACGUUGAUAGGUCAGGUGUGUAAGUGCUGUGAGGCAUUGAGCUAACUGAUACUAAUUGCCCGUGAGGCUUAACCAU